GACGAACGCUGGCGGCGUGCUUAACACAUGCAAGUCGAACGGAAAGGCCCUGCUUUUGUGGGGUGCUCGAGUGGCGAACGGGUGAGUAACACGUGAGUAACCUGCCCUUGACUUUGGGAUAACUUCAGGAAACUGGGGCUAAUACCGGAUAGGAGCUCCUGCUGCAUGGUGGGGGUUGGAAAGUUUCGGCGGUUGGGGAUGGACUCGCGGCUUAUCAGCUGGUUGGUGGGGUAGUGGCUUACCAAGGCUUUGACGGGUAGCCGGCCUGAGAGGGUGACCGGCCACAUUGGGACUAAGAUACGGCCCAGACUCCUACGGGAGGCAGCGGUGGGAAAUAUUGCGCAAUGGGCGGAAGCCUGAUGCAGCAACGCCGCGUGCGGGAUGACGGCCUUCGGGUUGUAAACCGCUUUCGCCUGUGACGAAGCGUGUGUGACGGUAAUGGGUAAAGAAGCACCGGCUAACUACGUG
This 468-nucleotide ribosomal RNA is filed under the name uncultured bacterium. RNAcentral's name for it is "partial 16S ribosomal RNA". It matches the Rfam family "Bacterial small subunit ribosomal RNA", at positions 28 to 507 of the family's 1533-position model. The record is from RNAcentral.